This 235-nucleotide small RNA is filed under the name Nomascus leucogenys (northern white-cheeked gibbon). Its description in RNAcentral is "Metazoan signal recognition particle RNA (ENSNLEG00000023190.2)". The stretch from base 46 to 203 matches the Rfam family "Metazoan signal recognition particle RNA", at positions 96 to 252 of the family's 299-position model. From Rfam's summary of the family: The signal recognition particle (SRP) is a universally conserved ribonucleoprotein. It is involved in the co-translational targeting of proteins to membranes. The record is from RNAcentral. Lineage: Eukaryota; Metazoa; Chordata; Mammalia; Primates; Hylobatidae.
ACUGUUAGCAGGUAGGAUUGAGGAGUUUAGAAGAGCUGGUCACUAUGCCGACUGGGUUUCUGCAUUACGUUUGGCAUCAAAACGGUGACCUCCUGGGAGUAGAGGGGCCACCAGGAUGCCUAAGGAUGGGUGAACUGGCCCAAGUCAGAAAUGAAGUAGGUCAGAACUCCCCUGCUGGGAGGUAGUGGAACUGAGCCUGGGCAACAUAGCGAGACUUUGGUUCUCAAAAAAAAAU